This 292-nucleotide ribosomal RNA is filed under the name uncultured bacterium. RNAcentral describes it as "partial 16S ribosomal RNA". The record is from RNAcentral.
GGACUACUGGGGUUUCUAAUCCUGUUUGCUCCCCACGCUUUCGUGUCUCAGCGUCAGUAUUCGUCCAGUUGGCCGCCUUCGCCACCGGUGUUCCUCUCGAUAUCUACGAAUUUCACCUCUACACCGAGAAUUCCACCAACCUCUCCGAUACUCGAGCCUUACAGUAUCGGGUGCACUUCCCAGGUUAAGCCUGGGGCUUUCACAUCCGACUUAUAAGGCCGCCUACACACGCUUUACGCCCAGUAAUUCCGAACAACGUUUGCACCCUCUGUCUUACCGCGGCUGCUGGCAC